CGCACGAGAAAGGGGAGCAAUCCCUGAGUAAAGUGGCGCACGGGUGAGUAACACGUGAAUUAUCUACCUCCGAGUGGGGAAUAACUGAGAGAAAUCUUAGCUAAUACCGCAUAACACUUACGAGUCAAAGCAGCAAUGCGCUUGGAGAGGAGUUCGCGGCCGAUUAGUUAGUUGGCGGGGUAAUGGCCCACCAAGACGAUGAUCGGUAUCCGGCCUGAGAGGGCGCACGGACACACUGGAACUGAAACACGGUCCAGACUCCUACGGGAGGCAGCAGUGGGGAAUUUUGCGCAAUGGGGGAAACCCUGACGCAGCAACGCCGCGUGGAGGAUGAAAUAUCUUGGUAUGUAAACUCCUUUCGAUGGGGAAGAUUAUGACGGUACCCAUAGAAGAAGCCCCGGCUAACUUCGUGCCAGCAGCCGCGGUAAUACGAGGGGGGCAAGCGUUGUUCGGAUUUAUUGGGCGUAAAGGGUGCGUAGGCGGUUUGGCAAGUCUUAUGUGAAAUCUUCGGGCUCAACCCGAAGCCUGCAUAAGAAACUGCCGGGCUUGAGUAUGGGAGAGGUGAGUGGAAUUUCCGGUGUAGCGGUGAAAUGCGUAGAUAUCGGAAGGAACACCUGUGGCGAAAGCGGCUCACUGGACCAUAACUGACGCUGAUGCACGA
This 661-nucleotide ribosomal RNA is filed under the name uncultured Acidobacteriota bacterium. RNAcentral describes it as "bacterial SSU rRNA". It matches the Rfam family "Bacterial small subunit ribosomal RNA", at positions 63 to 756 of the family's 1533-position model. Lineage: Bacteria; Pseudomonadati; Acidobacteriota. The record is from RNAcentral.